Cygnus olor (mute swan) is the source of this 4312-nucleotide long non-coding RNA. RefSeq lists it as uncharacterized. NCBI's taxonomy places the organism in Eukaryota, Metazoa, Chordata, Aves, Anseriformes, Anatidae. The transcript has 4 exons. The record is from RefSeq and is a predicted model, not a curated record.
UUAUUUCCUAUAAAAAGAUUAAUUAGUUGGCAUCCCUGCCUCUGCCCGUGCGAGCGCCGGGCGUGCGGAGCCGCUCACGGGUUUUGGCGGGCGCCGCGGCGCGCUGCCCGACCUUAAGAAGAAUAUCUCUUUAAAAUGUGUUGACAUUUAAUUGACCUUUGAAAGUUCAUUCUGUUAAUCAUCCUCAAAGCAGCUAACGCUAUGGUUGACUGAUCUGGUGUUCUUACGCUCGGCCGUGCUCGGCAUAUAAAUUCUGCGGCAUAAUUGCUACUUAUUGAGCAAGAGUUUCUUUUCUUCUCCCGAAAAUGAAAAAAAAGUUUUCCUUCGCCUCUGGCUGGAUACUACUUUCAGAGUUUUGAAUCAAAAUGCUUUCCUGUCAUUAGUUGUUGUGAAGGGUGGGGCCUGUAGUUAGACAAGAAAUUCCAUGACUGAAACGCUGUUUUUCUCCUUCCUGAGGCCUCAAAUAGGGCAAGGUAACCUUGAAGGUUACUUCUGUGCCUACUGCGAAUCAAAACACAAUGGCUCGCUCUUCUUUCCUCUGCGUUCCUCCUCUCAGCUCCAGCCGCUUUGGUGUGGAAGCCGGAGUUUGAAAGGGUCGAUUGCAGAAGAUUACUCCGAGGAGGAUAACGUGAAGUCAUUCACUGAAGAUUAUGGCAUUGCAUGAAAGGAAUGUAACAUCGGGCCAUAAAUUAACAGAAACGGGAAAAGCUCAUUCUCGGCUCCUGCUUGUUCAUCCAGCGCCUUGCACAUGACCCCUCUGCACCAAGGACUUGGAGUGCACGAAUGUACCUUUUGUAACUGCAGAACCUGCCACGCCACGCACGUGGUGCGGAGAUAAUGGGCAAAGACAAGUUCCCCGUCCUCUUGCAAUUUCAGAUUCCUGGAAAUUUGAGGAGCAGUCUUCAGCAGCCGAAGAAUGUCGUUCUCCCCGGAUCUGUGGGUAUCAGGGGAACAGAAGCAGGAUCAGUUGGUGUCCAAGAAGCACAACUUGAAGAGAUUCAGGAGCACUCUGGAGUGAACCGGCAGGAAGCCUUGUAAUACAACUGUGGCAAUGAGAGUGGCUGUCCUCGGGAGAUGCUGCAGCUCAGCUUUAUCAUGAUCUUCUUUCUUACAUAUGCACAAAGGACUUAAUUUUGUUCAGGAUUCGUAUGGUGUAAAAUAGUCAUGGGUAUGAGUUUUUUUUCCUCCUUUUACUUGAUGCCUACAUGUUUCCUGCAGUCAGUGAUGAAGUCUGUACUAAGUCUGCUGACAUUUGGUCUGCUUUCAAGAGUUCUGAGUGACAGGUACUGUAAACAUCCUACACUCUCAGCUGUGGAAACUUAGAAGGCUGGGAGAAGGCUGUUUACUCUCCCUGCCUCGGAAAUCAUCCGGAGGGCAAGGAUGGAAUAUUGUGAACUCCAUGUUCGUUGUAUUUCUGACAGCCUGUAUUUCUUAUUUUAUGUUACAGUGUCAGUAAACAAGUGACAGCAUUAUAUCAUGCCGUCAGUGUCUUGCAUUCUGACUGAGGUUCGAACCCAUAAUAAGAAGGGCCUUGCAGAUAUGCCUUAUCUGCCCUCCUGGUGUGAGGGAAACUUAAAUAGUAGAAAUAAUACGUUACAAUACCUUCAUACUUAAAUAUGAGAUAAAACAGACCUAUUCUGCCAUUUGUUCAUAGGUAGUGAUACAUACAAGUUACAGUGGAGACACUUUCAGGUUCAUGCAUCAGAAGUCUAUUUAAUGGAAAUCCUCCUUAAAUGUUUGUGUCUUGUGUUCUAAGAUUCAGUUCAUGUUUUCCUACCCAAAAGAACUAGGAAUGCCUGAAGGUAAAGAAGUUCUGGGGGACUUCAAGUUUCAGUUUCUUUUCAAAGAAAUUGAGGUGUCAACAAUGAUUAGCUCCAUCUCUAAAUUAACUGAAUUAAAGAUGCAAGAGUAUUUACCUUACAUUCUCUACUUGCUUUUGUCUGCUACUUGCUAUCCAGACUAUAUUAUUCUUUGUGCAAUCUCUCUUUCUCUUCUUCCUUGUUUCUUUCUAUUUCCCAUUAGCUAAGUAGGGCUUCUCACUUUAAAUGCAGAAUAAGCUUAAACAUUUUUUAUCCUUUUAAAUCUAAUACCCUACUGGCACAGUCUAAAUCCUCAUGAAAUGUAAUUUUACAGCUAUUCUUAAGCAGUGACUUUGGCAGAAAGAAUAUUAUUCCGCCACUUUUUUUUAUUUCUUUAUUGGAAGGGACAUCUUUUGUGCUUUCUAAGAAAUUUUUCAUAAUGCGGAUAAGUUCAAAGAUCACCUUCUAGCUCCUUUUGUGAUAGCAUUCUUAAGUCUAAAGAUCCUGCUGCUUCAGUUUUUUAGCAAAGGUAUUUAAAUAAAAAUCUCUGGUAUAAGAGAUGUUCUAGAGAGUUUAAAUAUCAGGGUUCAGAAAGUGAUGGAGGUAGAAAGAGAACAGCAAAAUGGUAGAAGAUCGUGUAAGGAUUUUCUACAAAAUGGACAAAAAAGAAUUCAAACCAUUAGGUAGAUCUCAAAAAAAAAAGUACAUGAUUUAAAAAGGGUACAUGAUUUGAAACAAUUAUUUGGAAAAAGGAAUUGGAGGGGAAAACAGCGUCAUGGAGUCUUAGUGCUGUAGCCAAGGAGUAUGUUCAUGAGUUGAGGUCUGGCUGUGCAGUAACAAGUACCACUUUUUCGGGUUUGUGGGGUUUUAACUCACGAUUUGUAUAGUGAUGUUACAAGUAAGGUUAAUCUUACAAAAUGAUUGUUUUAAGGAGAAAUGAGCUGUUCAGGCUAGUCAAACGAUAGAGGGUAGUAUUUCCUAACACACAUGGUUCCCUUGGCAGAGAGAGAUCUCCAAGGGUGAUGGAGCACACAGCUACAUCCUCCACUGUAUGGCAACACUGCUUGUAGGCUGUGUUGCUGAGGAGAGACCUCCCCUUCAAAGGAAGUAGCAUCCUGAAUUUGUGUGUGUUUUUAUUACUAUUAUUUUAUUUAGAUUUGCUUUAGGUUUGGAACCAUUAUUUUGUGUCAAACAGAAAAACUUCUCUGUAUUUAGCAUUACCUAUUUGUUGUCUAAUGGUGAAAUUCCAUCUUUGAUUUUAUCAGUGUAAGCUGGGAGUGUUGGAGCUUUUCUCAUGCAUUCUUCCCUGGCCACUCUUUCCUGUCCUUUAACUUGUGCUGAUACUGAUGUUUGUUUAAACAGCGAGCUAGCUCAGUGGCUUGACCCAGCUGAAAAUUAAACAAGCAAACCAGCUUUUAUCUGAAUCAGCUGAGUAACAGCUUACUCCACCACUGUGAUGCUGUUGCCUAAAAUGGUAAUUCCUUCACAUAUGGCCACUUUUUGAAGGACUAGAACAGAGUUUACGCUAAAUAGACCAUCAAAUCCUAAUACAAUAAGAAGGCAAAAUCACAGGAAUUUGUAUAUUUUUGUAUUUUAUUUGGUAUUAUUCUGUCAAUGCUGUUUGAAAGCAAUUGGAGGUAUGGUGCUAAGAUAAAUUCAGAUAAAAUUGCUUUAAUUAACAUUCUUGAUUAAUUGAAAUCCAUUCAUGCUUCUGUUUCUUUGAAAGCUUUGUUUGUGAAGUCUAGCGGGCAAAUUGUGUUGGACAUGGGGAGCUACCAGUAAUUUUGCUGCCUCCACACCUUUAAUUGUAAUGGUAUCCUCUGAUGUAUUUGCACAAGGCCGAGCAUUGUAUAAAUUGUGUUACUCCUAGAUCAUAAGGUUUUUUUGUGUGUUUUUUUUUUUUUUCCCAGGUAUCAGUUGCCAAGCCAAAGGCAAGCAAAAUGUCCUUUUCUCUUGUUAAUCUCAUACUUGAAAGAGUCGAAGAUUCUUUCCAGUCAAUCGAUUACACACAGAGCUUUCCCAUUGUGAAGAAACAUACAGGGCUUUUUCAAAACCCUGUUGCCUGUAAUGAGUUUUGGAUUGGGUCCACAGAGAUGUAAUUUGGAGAGCUACCACAGCAAGUCAUCUGUGGGAAAUCUUUGUUUGUAGGCAUGGGCUUUUUCUCCUUAACGUGUGCCAAGAUGCAAAACUGACUUUCUCCAUGUUAUUCUUGGCACUGCUCAGGAGAGUAUCAUUCUUACAUGUUAAGCUCAACAUGCUCAAUCGACUGAUUGAUUUUGAAUGAGGAGGAAGAAGGUAGUUAUUACUUAUUAUAUUUCCUUAUUGUUCGGUGUAGGAGCUAGUGAAAAUUACAAUAUCCAAACUUAACACAGGUGAAACAUGACUUUUUUAAGUUUGAAAGUGCUGCUAGUGAGGGAAAGGAGAGAUGAAGGGGAAAGAGGUGACUUCUUAUCCAGAGAGAGGAAAAUGAUAACCCUGUUCCUUUUCAGUACAAACACUUCCUUGAUAAUACA